CUGUAGCUCAGUGGUAGAGCGCACGCCUGAUAAGUGUGAGGUCGGAGGUUCGAAUCCUUCCAGU
RNAcentral lists this transfer RNA (64 nucleotides) under Carnobacterium maltaromaticum. It matches the Rfam family "tRNA", at positions 5 to 66 of the family's 71-position model. From Rfam's summary of the family: Transfer RNA (tRNA) molecules are approximately 80 nucleotides in length. The record is from RNAcentral. Lineage: Bacteria; Bacillati; Bacillota; Bacilli; Lactobacillales; Carnobacteriaceae.